AAAAUGUCAUCCAAAGAUGUUGACCUAAGACAAAGGUUUCAAUGAUACACAAUACGGUCAAAAAGGUUUCAAUCAGUAAUAUACAGUAUGACAACUACAUCUUGUAAAUUAUUCCCAAUACUGCCGGCAGUCUAUCUCUCUAAAGAAUAUUUGCCCCUUUCAUCCCUUCCUAACAAUCAGAUAAUAAAAUACAGCACCUAUAAAUAAGC
Molecule: long non-coding RNA, 209 nt
Filed under: Bos taurus (domestic cattle)
Lineage: Eukaryota; Metazoa; Chordata; Mammalia; Artiodactyla; Bovidae
Description: long non-coding RNA NONBTAT015766
Source: RNAcentral